CAAGGGCGAGGAUGGGGCGGCACCUCACGUAAGCAUUAACAAAUUCAUAUGAUAGAGCAGCGAGCGAGUUUGACAGGCCAGUGAACCUCAGCACUCUGCCUGGCGAGGUACUGACGUCACGGUGAGUCGACGUGACGUCACUACCUCCUGGCUCAGAGGCUCAGCUGUCAACUUGUCGCGCCUAGUGAGCUGCCCACCCCUUCCCCCCCUCCUCACCCCUCGCCCCUCAAUGGCCUCAGCUGUCACACGAUGGAAGGGGAGUGGUCGUGCCCGGCUCGGCUUGAGGGGCAUGCACUUGAUUUGUUAUAGUGUAAAGAUGUGAUUUCAUGAGGCUGGAGGACGGCUGCUUGUAACAAGCUCAUGCAAUCUUUACUGAAGUUGCCACCCAUAUAUCUCUACUACUACUAAUGCUUCUGCUGCUACAAAGAACUUCAACGGCAACAGUAAUUAUGAUGACAAUAAUAAUAACAAUGAGGACGAGGUUUAGCUGCGCCUUUUUCCCUGCACUCCAUCAGCAGACAGCUCUUCAAAAUUCGGUGCCGCCAGGGCCAGUCAGUGAGGUGUCCGAAGCUCGACGUGCAGUGUGACCGUGUUAAUAAGCAGCCGUCCGCCUUUGUGCCAAAUUCUGGGUUAGGAUGCACAGAAAACGCAUCUCACCGGCUUGGAGGAAAAUGGGAACUCGCAACUGAGAUGCUUGAACCCCAGUGACCUUAACAUGAAUAUUUCCGCGGGGUCAGUCCUCGGCGCCCGGCUCUGUGCUGUCCCCCGUGAGGUUGGUAUACUUUGAUCCUCCAUGCCACUGGAAAGACACAGCGUAAUGCUCAGGGCAGCAGUGAAAUGUAAGGAGUGAAUGCACCUGUUGGUCCUCAGCCAGUGCUUACAGCCGACUCAAGGUGCGUCACCCCCGAUACUCCUCCUGUCUCUCGUCCACAGCCCCUCUAUCUGCCCAAGAUCACCCUAGGCACAAUUCAGCAAACGCGUUACUUUUUCAGGUUGUGAUUUUAAAAUGCACGUUUACCACUGUAACAUAUUAAUGGACUCUCAUGAUCUUGUGAAUCGUGUGUUUUAGGCAAGUGGAAAAUCUCCCAUCGGAUCCAGCGCAGACUGGCACGCUCGUCCCCAGCCUGUCUGAGCAGAUGUCUACCAGCGAUCUGCGAGUAGGAGCCGAGGGUUGGUGUGUGCGUGGUGCAUGGAAACUUUUAUUUUAUCAGUAUUUUGUUCAUGUUAUGUGAAGUGAUAAAACGUGUAUAGCGGCGCGAAUAACGCAUGAAAGUGUCGUGGUCUCGUACGGAAUGGAAGCGUAGGAGAUGCGAGUACUGGGCAGCGGUACGGAGAUGUAGAAGUGUAGUGAUGUUGGCGAGGAGGAUCCGUGGCUGCAAGAUGUGAGCGAGAGAAGACUAGGAGGUACUUUAAUGAAAUAUGCGCCCCGGGCCGUCCCUGAGCCUUGCCAGUGAAGCUCCACCGCAACUUCUCAACUUUUCUUUGUUUCUUGUGCAAGUGUAGAUAGAUCGAGGGUGCGUUCCCCGAGCUCGGCCUGCCAGCCCUGUCCUGUCACCCGCGCCCGGCUCACACAAAAAUUAGCCGUCGGCACUGUGGAGGAGGUAAAAUUCUUCAGACGAGGAGAGAAGCGCUCUGUGUUCUGGAAUAAAGAAGACAUGUGCAUGGCAGUGUUAAAAAAUGUUGCAACUCACCUCGUGAACUGCUGCCGGAGGUGUGCAGCGGCCCCCCCGAGGUGUCAUGGGAGGUGACAUUCGAGGUGGACGAGCAACUUGAGGGUAAGCUGCGUCGCGGGGCUCCCUGGAUGACAGCUGAGGACGAGCCUGUUACCGUGACCGCUGCAUCUCGGCCCAGCAGACGAGAUGGUUCCUCUCGGGUGUGGCAGCAACAGUGAUCAGUCCCUCACCAGGUCCUCGUCGGCUCCCCCUUGGCCGCCUUUCUCCUCGCAGUGACAUCAGGUCAUUACGAGAGAGCCAGCAAGGGAUGGUGCCCGGUCUUGUAUACUGAGAAAAGAGAAUACCGGAGUCCCAGGAGGUUUACCAUUGCCAUAGUGAAGAGGAAUUACGUGCCAUGGCAGAUAGAGGAGCAUGCACAGUGCCAAGCUAGUGUAGUGCCAGUGUCGCGGUGCCAUUCAGGUUACGAGUUGGUGUUAGUCGAGCGGAGUGAAUGAGAACCGUCCUUAGUGGUGCGUCAUCCACUGUGAUUCAAGUGCCAAAAUACGUGUUCAUUCCGAGUGAAAAGUAAGAACCACGUUAUUUAUGAAGUUGUUAUUGGUUGCAUGUGCGUUUUCGUCCGUGUGUGAACGUUGAUGAGUGGUUCGCAAACUCCUCCCACAGUUAAGUGCAAUAAAGCGGAUUAAAACGGGGAUCAGAAAACUUGAAAGCUGUAAGUGUUGAAAAGUGACACUGCCUUCAGUAUUUUGACAGUACAGUUUUAUGGGACGUUGUCAAAACUAUGCUGUUCAGCUUACCUCAAGAAACAAAUCCUCAGCGACGCGACCAAGCCUAGUGAUAAGGAAAGUGAGGAGAAGUAAUUGAAGUGGAUAAAUAGUUCUUUUGAAACGUAAACGAAAGGACUGGCGCAAUGAAAGGCAUACGGGAAUACGGGUUUGUGCUGCACUGCUAUGUGUGGCGGGGGUGACGCCCUUUACGAGUGACGCCACGGCUGCUGGUGUGUGUAUCCGCCGGUGUGUGGCGCGUGUGGGCCGAGCACGCGGCGGGCACCCCACAUCCGUGACUCACCAAGAUGGGGCAGAGCCACGCCCGACUCAACGACUCCGAGCGCAAGACGAACUCCAGCUUCUCGCACGACUCUGACAUCAGCCUCAGCACCCACAGCGCCGACUUCUCCCUCACGCCGCCCAGGUCCCGCAAGGCCGUGUCCUUCCAAGGUGAGUCCUACACAUGUCCUGCAAUUCAUCCUAACCCCUUACACUCUUUCUGUCUAUUGUAAACUCCCAGUGUCGUGCUCCAAAUCCUGCACGCUUCCCUUUCCCUAGGUCCCUCGAAUCCUGCAUGUCUCCUGAUCCUUAUAAUCUGUCCAGCUUCACUACUUCUAUCCAACUUCUAUUCCUCUUGUGCUCCUCAACCCUUGCGUCCCCCUCAACCCUUGGCCAUUAGGAGUUUGUAAUGACUGCCGUAAGCACCAACCCAUGCAGCCCAGCGCAGAGACUUG
This is a long non-coding RNA of Eriocheir sinensis (Chinese mitten crab), 3171 nucleotides long. RefSeq lists it as uncharacterized. The transcript has 3 exons. Lineage: Eukaryota; Metazoa; Arthropoda; Malacostraca; Decapoda; Varunidae. The record is from RefSeq and is a predicted model, not a curated record.